AUUGAACGCUGGCGGCGUGCUUUACACAUGCAAGUCGAACGGCAGCAUUGUCUUCGGACAGAUGGCGAGUGGCGGACGGGUGAGUAAUACAUCGGAACAUGCCAUGUAGAAUGGGAUAACUCAUCGAAAGAUGAGCUAAUACCGUAUAAUCUCUGAGGAGGAAAGCUGGGGACCAGUGAUGGCCUGGCGCUAUAUGAGUG
Molecule: ribosomal RNA, 200 nt
Filed under: uncultured bacterium
Lineage: Bacteria
Description: partial 16S ribosomal RNA
Rfam family: Bacterial small subunit ribosomal RNA
Source: RNAcentral